RNAcentral lists this ribosomal RNA (253 nucleotides) under uncultured bacterium. Its description in RNAcentral is "partial 16S ribosomal RNA". It matches the Rfam family "Bacterial small subunit ribosomal RNA", at positions 524 to 776 of the family's 1533-position model. The record is from RNAcentral.
UACGGGGGGAGCAAGCGUUGUUCGGAUUUACUGGGCGUAAAGCGCGCGUAGGCGGCUUUGUAAGUUAGAGGUGAAAGCCCGGAGCUCAACUCCGGAACUGCCUUUAAGACUGCAUCGCUAGAAUUGUGGAGAGGUGAGUGGAAUUCCGAGUGUAGAGGUGAAAUUCGUAGAUAUUCGGAAGAACACCAGUGGCGAAGGCGACUCACUGGACACAUAUUGACGCUGAGGUGCGAAAGCGUGGGGAGCAAACAGG